GUCGACCUACGGGACGCAGCAGUAGGGAAUCUUCCACAAUGGGCGAAAGCCUGAUGGAGCAACGCCGCGUGGGUGAAGAAGGUCUUCGGAUCGUAAAACCCUGUUGUUAGAGAAGAAAGUGCGUGAGAGUAACUGUUCACGUUUCGACGGUAUCUAACCAGAAAGCCACGGCUAACUACGUGCCAGCAGCCGCGGUAAUACGUGGGUGGCAAGCGUUAUCCGGAUUUAUUGGGCGUAAAGGGAACGCAGGCGGUCUUUUAAGUCUGAUGUGAAAGCCUGCGGCUUAACCGGAGUAGUGCAUUGCA
Molecule: ribosomal RNA, 305 nt
Filed under: uncultured bacterium
Lineage: Bacteria
Description: bacterial SSU rRNA
Rfam family: Bacterial small subunit ribosomal RNA
Source: RNAcentral